CUGCUGCCUCCCGUAGGAGUCUGGUCCGUGUCUCAGUACCAGUGUGGGGGACCUUCCUCCCAGAACCCCUACGCAUCGUCGUCUUGGUGGUCCGUUACACCGCCAACUAACUAAUGCGACGCAUGCCCAUCCGCCACCGGAAUUAACCUUUGGCACCAACAGGAUGUCCCGUCGAUGCAUUAUGCCGUAUUAGACGGAAUUUCUCCCGAUUAUCCGGCUGUGGCAGGCAGGUUGCAUACGUGUUACUCACCCGUGCG
RNAcentral lists this ribosomal RNA (257 nucleotides) under uncultured bacterium. RNAcentral describes it as "partial 16S ribosomal RNA". The record is from RNAcentral.